RNAcentral lists this ribosomal RNA (777 nucleotides) under uncultured Neocallimastigales. Its description in RNAcentral is "partial large subunit ribosomal RNA". It matches the Rfam family "Eukaryotic large subunit ribosomal RNA", at positions 23 to 639 of the family's 3401-position model. The record is from RNAcentral. Lineage: Eukaryota; Fungi; Neocallimastigomycota; Neocallimastigomycetes; Neocallimastigales.
AGAGAGAGACAUGCGCGCAUAUCAAUAAGCGGAGGAAAAGAAACUAACAUAGGAUUCCCCUCAGUAACGGCGAGUGAAGCGGGAAGAGCUCAAAUUUGAAAUCUUCAAGGGUUCUACCUUUACGAAUUGUAGUUUAAAGAAGUGUUUUCUGUUGAGGUUUUGGUAAAAGUUCUUUGGAAUAGGACAUCAUAGAGGGUGAGAAUCCCGUAUUUGACCUUACUUUCCAACUUUGUGAUACACUUUCAAAGAGUCGGAUUGUUUGGGAAUGCAGUCCAAAAUGGGUGGUAAAUUUCAUCUAAAGCUAAAUAUUGGCGAGAGACCGAUAGCGAACAAGUACCGUGAGGGAAAGAUGAAAAGAACUUUGAAAAGAGAGUUAAACAGUACGUGAAAUUGUCAAAAGGGAAGCGUUUGACACCAGUGUUGUUUUCUCGAAAAUCAAUUAAAAAAGGCAGGAUUUUGUGUUGUAUUGACUUUAUCAGCUUUCUGCACUCUUUUCUUGUCUUUUUUAAUGCACUUUUCGUUUAACAAGUCAACAUCAAUUUCUUUUGUUGUAAAAGGGUCAUUGGAAGGUGGCUUUCUUUUCGGAGAAAGUGUUUAUAGCCUUUGGCCUCUGCAAUCGGAGAGAUUGAGGUCUGCAGCGUAGAUCCUUCGGGGUUAGAUACAUUUGUGCUAAGUUAUAGCCUUUCAUAGACAACUUGUUGACUAUGAUCAGUCAUGUAGCUUACUCGCUUAUGCUAUUUUACCUACGCUUAGGAUGUUGAUGUGAUACUGCGAGCA